Lupinus angustifolius (narrow-leaved blue lupine) is the source of this 119-nucleotide non-coding RNA. The record is from Rfam. NCBI's taxonomy places the organism in Eukaryota, Viridiplantae, Streptophyta, Magnoliopsida, Fabales, Fabaceae.
AGGUGCAAUCAUACCAGCAUUAAUGCACCAGACCCCAUCAGAACUCCGUCGUUAUGCGUGCUUGGGUGAGAGUAGUACUAGGAUGGGUGACCUCCUGGGUAGUCCUCGUGUUGCACCUC